GAGUUUGAUCAUGGCUCAGAUUGAACGCUGGCGGCAUGCUUUACACAUGCAAGUCGAACGGUAACGCGGGGGCAACCCUGGCGACGAGUGGCGAACGGGUGAGUAAUACAUCGGAACGUGUCCUGGAGUGGGGGAUAGCUCGGCGAAAGCCGGAUUAAUACCGCAUACGCUCUGAGGAGGAAAGCGGGGGACCUUCGGGCCUCGCGCUGCGGGAGCGGCCGAUGUCGGAUUAGCUAGUUGGUGGGGUAAAGGCCCACCAAGGCGACGAUCCGUAGCUGGUCUGAGAGGAUGAUCAGCCACACUGGGACUGAGACACGGCCCAGACUCCUACGGGAGGCAGCAGUGGGGAAUUGUUCGCAAUGGGCGCAAGCCUGACGACGCAACGCCGCGUGGAGGAUGAAGGUCUUCGGAUUGUAAACUCCUGUUGCCAGGGACGAAUGGCCACGACCUAACACGUCGUGGUGUGACGGUACCUGGUGAGGAAGCCCCGGCUAACUCUGUGCCAGCAGCCGCCGUAA
RNAcentral lists this ribosomal RNA (518 nucleotides) under uncultured beta proteobacterium. Its description in RNAcentral is "bacterial SSU rRNA". It matches the Rfam family "Bacterial small subunit ribosomal RNA", at positions 9 to 523 of the family's 1533-position model. Lineage: Bacteria; Pseudomonadati; Pseudomonadota; Betaproteobacteria. The record is from RNAcentral.